GGCAAAGGGGAAGCAAGGCAGGCCUUACAUGGGAGCAGAAGAGAGAGAGAGAGAGGGGAAGAGCCACACUUUUAAACCAUCACAUCUCAUGAUAAUUCAAUCACAAUCACAAAAACAGCAUGGGGAAAACGCCUCUGUUAUCCAAUCACCUCCUAUCAUAAGAAGGAGUUACUUCCGUCAGGGGUGCUCCAUACAUAAGUCCUGACACUAGAGCUGAGUUAACCACAGCCACCAGAAGUUGGGGACAGGGACUAUGUUGGCUAAAUAACUCAUUUGUGCUCUUUUGCGUUUUUUUGAUGGUGUUGUAUAUAAAAUUAUAUUUUUUUGUUCAUGGUUUUUGGGAGGAAUUUUGAAGAGAUUAAAAACUUCACUAUCAUGAGAAUAGACAAUCUAGAGCCACACUGUCCAGUAAGGGAGGCAAUAGCACCCUUUGGUGUGAGCGCUUGAAACCUGAGGAGCCUGAGUUAGGAUGGGCUGUAGCUGUAAAAUACACACCGGAUUCCAGAGGCAGCAAAGAAUAUUGAA
Molecule: long non-coding RNA, 525 nt
Filed under: Homo sapiens (human)
Lineage: Eukaryota; Metazoa; Chordata; Mammalia; Primates; Hominidae
Description: long non-coding RNA NONHSAT200871.1
Source: RNAcentral